Molecule: long non-coding RNA, 6568 nt
Organism: Otolemur garnettii (small-eared galago)
Lineage: Eukaryota; Metazoa; Chordata; Mammalia; Primates; Galagidae
Exons: 3
Source: RefSeq, a predicted model, not a curated record
UAGCUGACCAAUUUGUUUUUUAAAGGUAGUCGUUUGACUGAAGUGAGUGAAGAAUUUGAUAACUUUAGCUUCUUGGCUUAUGAAGUAAGUAGGGAUAAUGGUAUCCAAUGAAGUAAACAGAGGAAAGAUAGAUUCUGCACAAGAGUGGUUUCAAAUGCAGAUUAAACUGUACCAAAGACAUGGGUCUCCUGGGGAAAAUGAAUCUUAGUUACCGGACUGAUCAUUCUCGUCCUUGGAUUAUCUCCUCCGAGAAAAAUGGUAGGUACCUCCUUUAGGAGUCAGUUUUGUCAGGAAGGAAAACUUUUAAAUUCAUUAAGUUUAAAAUCAUUCUCCUCCAAUGAGCACUCAUAAUUAAGCUUUCCUAAGAUUCUGGAAACUGUCUGUGAUAAUUAUGUCAAAAUAGCCCCACUGACUUGAUGGUUUAUAAUGUAAGAUGGCUUUACGUCUGAAUGUGAAAAAUAUUAAAAAGAGACCAACUUGCAGGAGGGGUACCUAACACUCUUCAGAGUGUGCGUAAUAAUCAAAUGUAGCAUAAUCCCUUGCAAAGGAUUCUGUUCCAUCCAUCAGAGGCAGUCAGUGUGGACCCGGGGAAGGGGAGAAGGACUGCUUAACAACAGGAAGGGUGUUCAUGUGAAGAAAAGUGGUUUCCAAAGUCUGCAGUGGAAUUUUUCCUUCUGGAGCUAUUUUCGUCAGGAAUUCUCUUCCUCCCCACACCUGGACAUAUGCCUGGUGCCUCUCUUCCCCAAGAAUACAUUUACCAUUUAAAAAUAUCUUUUGGUUUAACAAUGUUUGCUGGCCAAUAAUAAAAGCUUUCUGUGAUGCCUCUCUCUUUUAAUGUCAGGAGAAAACUCAGGAACUGUUUACUACUUUGGGUGGGUGGCUUGGAGGGAAAAAAGAAAACCAAGCGGUUUUGCCCAGGAAUGCUGACCAAUCGGUACUGAAGUACUUCUGGUUCAAGUUUUCCUCCUAGCAGUCAUUUUAAUCAGCACUUCCCCUUUUUAAUGAGCUUGUAGUGCCAUUACAUAAUCACCCCGCUCACUGGAUUAAUGAUGAAAAGAGGAACUGAUUUUUCCAGUUGCAUCAUUUGAAGUAAAUGUUAACUUUCUUUCUGAGUCCUUAGUUAACCGCAUUAGUGUGACAAAUAUGUCUUUGUCUAGCAUAAGUAAUUAGAAUUUAAUCACUUUAACUGCAUCUUAAUUACCCCAAAUGAAUUGAAAGGACAUUUAAUAGCAAAGAUUAAAUUGCCUUAAUGAACGAUUUUUGUGACUCCAUCAAUACUUGAAUCGCGUUAGCCACUCCUCUCACGCACUCCAGUCGCGGAACCUGUAGUGAGCACGGAGGUCACUAGGUGGCGCGCUUCGCUCGUUUGUUUAUUUAAUUUCCCCCAUUGAUCUGUUUUAGAAGACAACAGGAAAGGAAGCGAAAAGCACAUAGUUUAUUGUGUUCCUCCGAUAACCUCUCUUUGGGACUAUGAGAUCAUCCCCAGAUGUGAAAACGAAAGCAGUGACUCAGAAACUGUCCAUUCUGAGUACCCCAAGGCAUACGCAAAGUAAGAUCGGAAACACAUGCUGCCUGGAAAUACGCAGCGAUUGGCAGAAACUGUGAGUUGUCCUCUGAACAAUUGCCAACAGAUACACAGAGUUUUACUCAACUUAUUAUUUUUUAGUGCAGAAUCUUAAAAUAUGAGUAACAGGCAAGCUUUGCAAUAACCAGGCAGGCACUGAUGUGGAGCAAAAAAAAAGAAAAAGGUAAUUGCUACCAAAGUAUGGAGAGGAAUGCCAAAGCCCGAAGACAUAGGAAGCCCUGGCCCGGGUCCACAGCUAAGGAGAUGGGUCUUGCUCAUCAGUAAUUGUUUAAGUGAAGGAAGAGAUAAGGGAGUCUUGGGUUCCCCACCUAGCUGUGGCACUGCCUUGAGUUCCCAUUGGCUGCUUCUCCAAAAGAGAGUAAUUAAAAACUCUCUCUUACAAGUCUUGAGUAUAAAAGAAUUGAGUUUCCAUAAGCAACUGCCUUUAAGAAUCCCAGAAGGAAGACAUGCUCUCUGUAGUUUCAAGAACUUCAUUAUGGAGAGGCUUUCUCAACUGGGUGUUUGUGACAGUGAAUCAGACAUUUCCACACUCUGGGUCCACUGACCUGGUGGACCUGUACUGUCAACAGAAACACCAGGUGAAGGGUAAGAAGGUCCUGGGGUUUGAAUUGAGAAAGCUGAGUUCAGGGCACCAGCUAUGUUUUCACAGGUAAUUAUUUAACCUCACUGAAGAGAACAACAAUAUGGGGAAAUAAUGGUAACUGCCACAUGGACAGGUGGCUCCCAAACUUUGCCACAUGUUAAAAACACCUCAUUCAAAUCUCAGUGCCCAAGUCAUGCCCUAUACCAAUUACAUCAGAAUAUCUUGGGUUGUAAUCAGGCAUUGGGUUUUUUUAAAGCUUGAAGUGAUUCCAAUGCAUAGCAAGAUUUGGGAGCCACUGGCAUAAAUGAAGAAUAUUAAAUGAAAAUAUUUAUGUGUCCACCACAGUAUCUGAUGAAGAGAAUGUGCACAACAAACUUAAGCUCCUUCCUUAUCAAUUGCUACGACAAAUCUGAUGAGUUGUACCAGUUAGAAUCUAGUUCUGUCCAGCUGUUAUUAACAUCUGAAAGAGAUGCCUAUCUAAAAGAGAAAACAAUUUCUAGGAGUGAAUUUGUUACAAUUUUAUGAUAAUGUAACAUCUUUUGGAAAUAUUCCAUAGCACGACCUAGUGAUACAUAACUUUUGUGUUUAUAUAAAAAUAAUCAGAUUUUUGUGAUGGGUCCAGUCACCUAACUUAAUCCUAUCAUCUCAGAGGGAAAAUAAGUUUCGUUAGUGUUAACAUAUUUGUACUAAAAUAAGAACCUGUGCAAACCUGUUAAUAGAAAGUAUAGAUUUAUGAUUGCACACUAAAUCUAUAAAAAUAGGUUUCUUUUUACUGGACUGUAUGAGACUGACAUUUUUUUCAUGUGGAAAUAAGGUAGCUUUCUUCCCUGAAAGGUGCUCAUCUUGUUUAAAUAGAAACAAUGAAAAUAAUAUUCAAUAUUUGUGGAAUAUUCAAUAUUCAAUAUUUGUGGAACACUUUUCUCCAGCAUUGUAAGGAAUGUGUCCUCUGACAACCAUAUCUUCAGCUCCUCCUUCUGUUGCUACCUUAGGUUGGGGGCCAUUCCACUUGACCAAUUCCCCCAAGAGUGUGGAAAUCCUGCUGUUUUAAUGGGGACCGAAAUGAAACUAGCCAUUUCUCAUUCACCUCAUCAAAGCUCCUAGGUUGAUUUAAAAUAUUAAGUUGAUGCUUAAAUAUUCCAAUGUGUGGAGUUUACACUGAGCACUGUCACUUGAGGGACAGACAUGGGCUCUAACUAGCAAGCUCAGGAGCAAGGUUCCUGAGACUGUCCUAUUUAAUUAACCACUGACAUUAGAGUAAGGAUUUUCUUUCUUACAAGAAAAUCAGGAAUAAAUUUUACGGAUAUCCUCUGUAAGAACAAUUUCUUCUGAUAACUUUGUGUAGCAGCAUCUGAUUAUCUGAAUUUGCCAAGAAUGUGGAAAUGAUGACAUCAAAACAACUCGUGUAACAACCUCCUUAAAGACCUCGUAGAUUAGAGAUGACUAUAGAUUUUCCCCAGCGCGGAUCAAAGGGACUGAAUUGAACGUUUUGGCUUAAUGAUCCAACCCCUGUCACACCCACAGGGACGCGAAUUCCGAUUUUAUAAGCAGGUGUGCACAUGCACUCAGACGCACACACAGAGCUGCAGAGGAGGGACGAAAAGAUCAACUACCUGAUCGACGCGGCUUUCCAAACACAUCCUAGUCGCCUUCCAAGGGCGAAGAGAAACUGGACCAGGCAGCAGGAGGCUUGGGCCCUGUCCAGGGUCCUGACGCCUCCCCAGCGCUGGUCAGCUUCUGAACGCCCUUUUACCCACUCCACACGAGACGGAACAAAGACUUCCAAGAUCAAGGCCCCAGGGCUGCCUCCUGACUCUAGGUCAGUUUGCUGGUGGAGGAAACAACAAAACAAAGGAAUUGUCAACCCGUCAACCCGCCAGGCUCAACCUCUGACUUCAGACCGCCACGGUCACCUUCUCUGCUCUGACCGUGUUUUUCUCGAAUAAAAACAUGCCAGCGAAGGCACAGAUUCGGAUAGAAAAUCUAAACACUCAUCUUUGGGGAGGUUAGAGUCGGGGUGUAAUUUGGGGGAUGGCAAUUGUGUCUCCAUGAGUAGGGCUUUGUUGAGCACCUCGAUAGAUCCACUACACAUCCUUUUCUUUCUCCUUCACAUCCUCUUCCUAUCAAAACAGCUAUUGUUUUGAGAGUCACUAGGACAACGGAUAGGCUAAGUACAAAGGCAAGUAAGCCUCUUUCCGCGGCGGGGCGAAUCGCGGUCGCUUGCUGGGCGCCAGGCUCCAGAGGCCCGCAGGGGGCGCAAGCAGCUUCUGUAGCGCAGCCGGUCGGGCUACUCUGAGAAUGAGCCCAAAUGGGGGCGGGCGGGGCGGGGAGGGAUCUGGGAGCGCAGAGUGCUGAGGCUUGAAGAUACAGACGCAUCCUGGGCUUUGGGUCGCUUUGCUGCUACAAAACAAAUGUGCUAUUGCUGCCACUGUCCUUCCCAAAUGUCAACUAGAGGGCCAGCUGGGUCUCAAGUGACCACUGAGCCCUGGGCUGAGUGGCUUGCUCUCAAUACCGGGAUUGGAUCUUCGGAUGCUUCCAAUGCGAUCCCAGCUGCACUGGCUGGUGGGAUAGCCUCACACCCUCCAAAGAGGCUGUUGGGUUCUUUUGUCUUUUUAGCAGGCGUCUCGCUGCACUGACACCAACGUAGCCACACAAUAGCCCUCAGUACUCCUGGAGCCCCAGAAGCAGGUGUCGCCCAUCCCAGCCAUACUCAUACUAGAGGCCCCAGUCUUCCUUCCCCAAAUGCAGACUUCUAAAUCCCAUGUGCACCUUCGUCUCCUCGCUAGGGUUUGUGCUAAUGGGAUCUUCACAGAGGAAACUAUUGUCCUACACCCUCCAGGGGACAGACACACACUGUAAGAAAGGCGUCAAGUGGAGCCUUCUGGUGGCUGUUCCCAAGAGUGAGACCUUUUGGUUUAGAAAUCGGCUGGUAAGUGUGUGAGGGUCGCCAGUCGACUAUCCGGACCCACAGUCCUGGGCGGACUCUGGAACUCCUCGGUCUCCCCCUGACAACCGGCUGUCCCACUACCACGCUGGGAGGAGGCACACCCAAGCCUUCCGAGGAGGAGGCGCUUGCCGCGGGCAGCCCCUUUCGUCCCGGGCUGGGUGGCGACACAGUCGGUCGCGCCUCGCCAGCCCUUUGUUCGCGCCGCAGCCAGCUGGAAGCAGCUUGCGCUGCUGGACACCCGCGGCGCAGAGACGCUGAGCGGAGCGCGGGGAAAACGCUGCGCUUGACGCCUUCUCCCCCUGCUGUCUGGCCCAGAAACUCUUCCAGAUUCCGAGUCCCACACGCUCAGCUCUAGCUAGCUUCCCUUCCCGCCCUGGAGUCUUUGAGGAUUGAAGAGUGGUGCCUAGGGUCCAGUGUCACACUCCUGCAUUCCUGCACGGCUCCUGCGGCCCAGGGAAGAAAGGGGAUAGUGGAAAUAUCACCGCCUGGGAUAAAUAUUAACGAAAAAGCAAAUGGACUUGUGUGGGGCCCAGUUAUCAACCAAUCAGGCCCCAAGGCCACUCAAGGCAAACACAGCCCAGGCGCUCACGUCAGAGGCGCGGCACCGACCCAUCCGCCCACCCCACCCGAGAGGACACGUGGCCAGAACCCUGUCGCGCUGCGUUUUAAUGGGGCAGCAGCAAGUAUUACAUUGAGGGAACAAAUAUUGAUUUUUUUUUAAGGUAGUUAAUUUGGUGAGAAUUUCCUCCUGUCGUCAGUCCUCCACCAGCCGCUGUAAUUUCUUGAUGGGAAGGCGUCUCCCCAAACACACUGCAGGGUGGGGAGGGUUUUGACCCUGUUCAACAGGCUGCACAGAAUUCGGGGCACAGAGAGGGGUGUGGAGGGGCAUGGAGAAGCCGCCCUCCCACAGUGGAGCUAAGAAACCGAGCUUAAUGGACCCUGGCCUGGAACGGUGGUUGGGAGGAGACUGGGGGAGGGUCUUUGAGUGCAGGAGCUAGCAAAGCUGUAGGAGGCACCUCUGCACGUGGGAGCUGGUCCUGUUGGGCAGUCAUGAAUGUCCCCAGCCCGCCAAGCACCUGGCAAUCUGUUUCAAAGCCCCUGCACUCGGGGCUUGCUAGAGGUCAUUUGGAGUGUUCAGAACCCGCCCCCUUUAAAUGAAAGUGUUAAUCAACGUUGUUCUUCAGUGACUUAAAAAUAGGUCUCGGCUUUUGCGGUUUGAGGAGCUGGUUCCAGGUUCCUUGGAGAAGGCCCUUUUGGAUCAGCACAGAACCCUCCGGCCCAACCCUCCCCACCACUCCUUUAAGUUGAAACAAAAAUGGAAGCCACAUGUUUCACCAGGGAUUCAGGACGCUGAGUUAGCUCAGUGUUUGGCACCAAACACCUGUUCUGCUGAAGUCUCCUAGUUUCACUUUUUCGAGAGAAAGCCAUGAGCUGGGGGUCAAGAGCUGCAAGGCUU